UACGUAGGGUGCGAGCGUUGCCCGGAUUUAUUGGGCGUAAAGAGCGUGUAGGCGGCCAUGCAGGUCCGUUGUGAAAACUCGAGGCUCAACCUCGAGACGCCGGUGGAAACCGUAUGGCUAGAGUCCGGAAGAGGAGAGUGGAAUUCCUGGUGUAGCGGUGAAAUGCGCAGAUAUCAGGAAGAACACCCGUGGCGAAGGCGGCUCUCUGGGACGUGACUGACGCUGAGGAGCGAAAGCGUGGGGAGCGAACAGG
RNAcentral lists this ribosomal RNA (253 nucleotides) under uncultured bacterium. RNAcentral's name for it is "partial 16S ribosomal RNA". It matches the Rfam family "Bacterial small subunit ribosomal RNA", at positions 524 to 776 of the family's 1533-position model. The record is from RNAcentral.